GUUGCUUCCUUCUGAAAAUAAUCAUUUUAUUUUUGAUCGCUCUUGAGUCUGGCCAUAAAUUAUACCGCCAAACGGAACAUGUGUGCGUGUCUCGUUCCCCAGAAGCACUCGCCAAAUUUAAAGUUCAAAUCACACAGAAAGCCGGCAAAACGAAGCGAAAAUCCCAAGAGUUAUGUUGAGUGACAGACAUGGCGUAUGCGCAAUGUGCGCAUUGUCCAUUCUAACGGCGUCAUUUGUUUGGCUUAAUUGCCGAUAAAUAAUUGCAAAGCGGAGUUACACUCCACCCCGCACCACAUCCCCCCCCUCGGCGUCGUGAAACUCAAUCCAAGAGCCGGAAGAAAAGGAAGCAAAUUCGCAUUCGCAAAUCAUUUUUCAGGCCCAGUCGACAGCUGCGAAAAUAAGCGCAAAUAAACGAAAAUAAGAGAAAA
Drosophila yakuba is the source of this 428-nucleotide long non-coding RNA. RefSeq lists it as uncharacterized. NCBI's taxonomy places the organism in Eukaryota, Metazoa, Arthropoda, Insecta, Diptera, Drosophilidae. The record is from RefSeq and is a predicted model, not a curated record. The transcript is spliced from 2 exons.